GACAGCAGCAGCCACGGGAAAACGGAGGGAGCUAGCGUUAUUCGGAAUUACUGGGCGUAAAGCGCACGUAGGCGGCUUUGUAAGUUAGAGGUGAAAGCCUGGAGCUCAACUCCAGAAUUGCCUUUAAGACUGCAUCGCUUGAAUCCAGGAGAGGUGAGUGGAAUUCCGAGUGUAGAGGUGAAAUUCGUAGAUAUUCGGAAGAACACCAGUGGCGAAGGCGGCUCACUGGACUGGUAUUGACGCUGAGGUGCGAAAGCGUGGGGAGCAAACAGGAUUAGAUACCCCUGUAGUCCCUGUCUCUUAUAC
This 306-nucleotide ribosomal RNA is filed under the name uncultured bacterium. Its description in RNAcentral is "partial 16S ribosomal RNA". It matches the Rfam family "Bacterial small subunit ribosomal RNA", at positions 507 to 807 of the family's 1533-position model. The record is from RNAcentral.